GCCUCGCACGCCGGAAUCGCCAGGCACUCUGGGAAGGGUCAGGCUCCGGCGGGAAGGCGGAGCCGUUGGGGAGCGUGAGGCGAAGCGUGGUCUCUCCAAGAAAAAGUGUAUCCACCAGGAGCGCCGAGCGAAACCCCAUUCUUAGUAAAACCCUUAAGGGAAAAAAGUAGGGCUGAAGAAAGCUGCAUGGGACAAGAGUAGGACCGUCAGAAGACAAGCCAAAAGCAUGCGAUGGUAGCUGUCCACUGCUGAGAAGCAGAGAAAAGGAGUGGUCUCGCACACUAAAGGUUUUCUUCAUUUGACAGACAAGAAGCUGAAAAACUGGCACUUUUUAUUCAGAUAUGUAUAAAAACAAAACAAAAAAAACAACACAUACUCCCCGUUUCGCAUCCAAGGGGACAGAGGUCUGAAGCCGGGUCCUCUUUCUAUCCCAACUGGAAGCUUCCCACUACGGGAUGAGAAUAGUUUCUAAAAGUGGCUCUUGGGGGGCCAGCCGGGUGGCAGUGGUUAAGUUGGUGUCCUCUGCUUCAGUGGCCCGGGGUUCGCAGGUUUGGAACCCUGGGUGUGGACCUGUGUACCGCUAUCAAGCCACGCUGUGGCAGUGUCCCACAUAGACAGAAGAUGGGCACAAAUGUGGCUCAGGGACAGUCUUCUUCAAGCAAAAACAGGAAGAUUGGCAACAGAUGUUAGCUUAGAGACAAGCUUCAUCACCAAAAAAAAAGAAACAACAACAAAAAAAACCCAGCUCUUGGGACCCUUGUGGAUCUGCCCCUUAGAUAAGAAGUGGAGAUCAUUUCUAACACAUGUAGAUUAUAGUUUACACAAAGAUGUCCAGUUAUUUUUCCUUCUGACCACCCCCUUCCCCUUGCUUCCUGUAUGAGAAGUCUGGGUGUAGGAGGCUGUGGUUGUAGGAGUUAGACUUGAUUCAGUGCAAAAACAAGACAAUGCCCAUUACAAGGGCUCUGCCUUACACAGGUUUUCCUUGCUAUCUUACAGUAAGACCAUAUGCAUUGGAAGAUUUUGACCCCUGGACAUGCCACUUAAUUGACUUAAUCUCUUUAAGGCUCAGUUUCCUUAUUUGUGAAAUGAGAUAAUACCUAGCUCAUAGAAUUGUUGUAAAAGGAUUAACUGAGAUAAUGUAGGUAAAGUUCAGCAUGAUGCUUGGCACACAGUAAAUGCUCAAUUAAUAGUAAUUAAUAUCUACUCCUAACCUCUUUCUUUGUUCCUCAAGAUUUUAAGCUUCCCAUUCUUUCCAGGGGGUUAAGAGUCAUGAGUCAAAAUUUUCUUUCCCUUGCGGGUUUUCCCCCUUUCCUCUUCCUUAGGAUGCUGACGGGAAACAAAGUCACUCCUUACAGCCUGGUCUCAA
Molecule: non-coding RNA, 1366 nt
Organism: Equus caballus (horse)
Lineage: Eukaryota; Metazoa; Chordata; Mammalia; Perissodactyla; Equidae
Source: RefSeq, a predicted model, not a curated record